AACGCACAUUGCGCCCGCUGGUAUUCCGGCGGGCAUGCCUGUUCGAGCGUCAUUAUGACCAAUUAAAAUCAGUGACGGUGCCGUCUGGCUCUAAGCGUAGUAAUACUUUUCGCUAUAGAGUUUAGUCGUCCGCCCGUUAGAAUCUUCAACUUUCUUAGGUUGACCUCGGAUCAGGUAGGGAUACCCGCUGAACUUAA
This 197-nucleotide unclassified non-coding RNA is filed under the name uncultured fungus. RNAcentral's name for it is "sequence contains ITS2". The stretch from base 1 to 52 matches the Rfam family "5.8S ribosomal RNA", at positions 103 to 154 of the family's 154-position model. Lineage: Eukaryota; Fungi. The record is from RNAcentral.